UUUUUUUGAAACCAGCUGCCACAUAAGAACUUCAACUUUCCUGAGACCAACAAGCUGUAAAGAAGCAAAGCGCCCAUGUAGAAAGGCCUGGUGGAAUAGCUCUGUGUUUACUACUAUAAACUUUCUUCUUAACACUGCUAUGACUACAACCCAGAGAUUUUGUGUUGACCUUGGACAGUCUGGUGAUCAUAUUCCUUGGUGAUGUUCAUCAUAUAUAAUAUCUCAAAGGGUCUGGCUCUGCCACCCAGGAUGAAGUUCAGCAGCAUGAUUUCAGCUCACCGCAACCUCCGCCGUCAGGGAUAAGUCAUCCUCCCCCUUCAGUCUCCUGAGCAUCUAGGACUAUAGGCAUGUGCCACCAUGUCUGGCUAAUUUUUCAUUUUUUGGUGGAGACACAGUUUUGCCAUAUUGCUCAGACUGGUCUUGAAUUCCUCGGCUCAAGGUAUCUGAGCGUCAUGGCCUCCCAAAGUGCUGGGAUCGCAGACGUGAACCCCUGUGCCUGGCUGACUUAUUUUUAAAUAAUUUCUGAAAAUGCACAAAGCUUAAUUAUGUAGAUUGGCAUAUUUUCAAAAAUGUAUACACUUCUGUAACUAUUA
Molecule: long non-coding RNA, 593 nt
Organism: Piliocolobus tephrosceles (Ugandan red Colobus)
Lineage: Eukaryota; Metazoa; Chordata; Mammalia; Primates; Cercopithecidae
Exons: 4
Source: RefSeq, a predicted model, not a curated record